UGCUUUCUUUGCUGUCGAGCGGCGGACGGGUGAGUAAUGCCUAGAUAUCUGCCUAGUCGUGGGGGAUAACAGUUGGAAACGACUGCUAAUACCGCAUACGCCCUACGGGGGAAAGGAGGGGACCUUCGGGCCUUUCGCGAUUAGAUGAGUCUAGGUGGGAUUAGCUAGUUGGUGAGGUAAGAGCUCACCAAGGCGACGAUCCCUAGCUGUUCUGAGAGGAUGAUCAGCCACACUGGGACUGAGACACGGCCCAGACUCCUACGGGAGGCAGCAGUGGGGAAUAUUGCACAAUGGGGGAAACCCUGAUGCAGCCAUGCCGCGUGUGUGAAGAAGGCCUUCGGGUUGUAAAGCACUUUCAGCGAGGAGGAAAGGUUGGUAGUUAAUAGCUGGCCAGCUGUGACGUUACUCGCAGAAGAAGCACCGGCUAACUUCGUGCCAGCAGCCGCGGUAAUACGAGGGGUGCAAGCGUUAAUCGGAAUUACUGGGCGUAAAGCGUACGCAGGCGGUUUGUUAAGCAAGAUGUGAAAGCCCCGGGCUCAACCUGGGAAUUGCAUUUUGAACUGGCAAACUAGAGUCUUGUAGAGGGGGGUA
This 591-nucleotide ribosomal RNA is filed under the name bacterium 4873K4-B28. RNAcentral's name for it is "bacterial SSU rRNA". It matches the Rfam family "Bacterial small subunit ribosomal RNA", at positions 77 to 663 of the family's 1533-position model. The record is from RNAcentral.